Non-coding RNA from Mycena rebaudengoi, 92 nucleotides. The record is from the annotation of a GenBank genome assembly. NCBI's taxonomy places the organism in Eukaryota, Fungi, Basidiomycota, Agaricomycetes, Agaricales, Mycenaceae.
GGUCCGGUGGUGUAAUGGUAACACACCUGAAACAUAUAAGAUGCAGGGAAGCUAAUAAGUAGGAGUUCCCUGUUCAACUCAGGGCUGGAUCA